CGAACGGUGAAGAGGAGCUUGCUCCUCGGAUCAGUGGCGGACGGGUGAGUAACACGUGAGCAACCUGCCUUUCAGUGGGGGACAACAGUUGGAAACGACUGCUAAUACCGCAUAACGUGCCGGAGGGGCAUCCUUUUGGUACCAAAGAUUUAUCGCUGAAAGAUGGGCUCGCGUCUGAUUAGAUAGUUGGUGAGGUAACGGCCCACCAAGUCGACGAUCAGUAGCCGGACUGAGAGGUUGAUCGGCCACAUUGGGACUGAGACACGGCCCAGACUCCUACGGGAGGCAGCAGUGGGGAAUAUUGGACAAUGGGGGAAACCCUUAUCCAGCGACGCCGCGUGAGGGAAGAAGGUUUUCGGAUUGUAAACCUCUGUCAGUGGGGACGAUAAUGACGGUACCCACGGAGGAAGCCACGGCUAACUACGUGCCAGCAGCCGCGGUAAUACGUAGGUGGCAAGCGUUGUCCGGAAUUACUGGGUGUAAAGGGAGCGUAGGCGGGAUGUCAAGUCAGAAGUGAAAAUUAUGGGCUCAACUCAUAACCUGCUUUUGAAACUGAUAUUCUUGAGUGAAGUAGAGGCAAGCGGAAUUCCUAGUGUAGCGGUGAAAUGCG
This 610-nucleotide ribosomal RNA is filed under the name uncultured bacterium. RNAcentral describes it as "bacterial SSU rRNA". It matches the Rfam family "Bacterial small subunit ribosomal RNA", at positions 63 to 690 of the family's 1533-position model. The record is from RNAcentral.